GAUGAACGCUGGCGGCGUGCCUAAUACAUGCAAGUCGAGCGAACGGACGAGAAGCUUGCUUCUCUGAUGUUAGCGGCGGACGGGUGAGUAACACGUGGAUAACCUACCUAUAAGACUGGGAUAACUUCGGGAAACCGGCGCUAAUACCGGAUGAUAUUUUGAACCGCAGGGUUCAAAAGUGAAAGACGGUCUUGCUGUCACUUAUAGAUGGAUCCGCGCUGUAUUAGCUAGUUGGUAAGGUAACGGCUUACCAAGGCAACGAUGCAUAGCCGACCUGAGAGGGGGAUCGGCCACAUGGGAACUGAGCCACGGUCCAGACUCCUACGGGAGGCAGCAGUAGGGAAUCUUCCGCAAUGGGCGAAAGCCUGACGGAGCAACGCCGCGUGAGUGAUGAAGGUCUUCGGAUCGUAAAACUCUGUUAUUAGGGAAGAACAUAUGUGUAAGUAACUGUGCACAUCUUGACGGUACCUAAUCAGAAAGCCACGGCUAACUACGUG
This 497-nucleotide ribosomal RNA is filed under the name uncultured bacterium. RNAcentral describes it as "partial 16S ribosomal RNA". It matches the Rfam family "Bacterial small subunit ribosomal RNA", at positions 28 to 507 of the family's 1533-position model. The record is from RNAcentral.